RNAcentral lists this ribosomal RNA (305 nucleotides) under uncultured bacterium. RNAcentral describes it as "bacterial SSU rRNA". It matches the Rfam family "Bacterial small subunit ribosomal RNA", at positions 335 to 658 of the family's 1533-position model. The record is from RNAcentral.
UGCCUACGGGACGCAGCAGUCGGGAAUAUUGCGCAAUGGAGGAAACUCUGACGCAGUGACGCCGCGUAUAGGAAGAAGGUUUUCGGAUUGUAAACUAUUGUCGUUAGGGAAGAUAAAAGACUGUACCUAAGGAGGAAGCCCCGGCUAACUAUGUGCCAGCAGCCGCGGUAAUACAUAGGGGGCAAGCGUUAUCCGGAUUUAUUGGGUUUAAAGGGUGCGUAGGCGGGCUUUUAAGUCAGCGGUAAAAAUUCGGGGCUCAACCCCGUCCGGCCGUUGAAACUGGGGGCCUUGAGUGGGCGAGAAGA